This 69-nucleotide transfer RNA is filed under the name Marmota monax (woodchuck). It matches the Rfam family "tRNA". Rfam says of the family: Transfer RNA (tRNA) molecules are approximately 80 nucleotides in length. Their secondary structure includes four short double-helical elements and three loops (D, anti-codon, and T loops). Further hydrogen bonds mediate the characteristic L-shaped molecular structure. tRNAs have two regions of fundamental functional importance: the anti-codon, which is responsible for specific mRNA codon recognition, and the 3' end, to which the tRNAs corresponding amino acid is attached (by aminoacyl-tRNA synthetases). tRNAs cope with the degeneracy of the genetic code in two manners: having more than one tRNA (with a specific anti-codon) for a particular amino acid; and 'wobble' base-pairing, i.e. permitting non-standard base-pairing at the 3rd anti-codon position. The record is from Rfam by way of RNAcentral. Lineage: Eukaryota; Metazoa; Chordata; Mammalia; Rodentia; Sciuridae.
GGAGUUGUGGCUCAGCGGUAGAGCGCUCGCCUAGCAUGUGAGAGGCCCUGGGUUCGAUCCUCAGUACCA